Molecule: ribosomal RNA, 253 nt
Filed under: uncultured bacterium
Lineage: Bacteria
Description: partial 16S ribosomal RNA
Rfam family: Bacterial small subunit ribosomal RNA
Source: RNAcentral
UACGUAGGGUGCAAGCGUUAAUCGGAAUUACUGGGCGUAAAGCGUGCGCAGGCGGUUUUGUAAGACAGUCGUGAAAUCCCCGGGCUCAAACUGGGAAUUGCGAUUGUGACUGCAAGGCUGGAGUGCGGCAGAGGGGGAUGGAAUUCCGCGUGUAGCAGUGAAAUGCGUAGAUAUGCGGAGGAACACCGAUGGCGAAGGCAAUCCCCUGGGCCUGCACUGACGCUCAUGCACGAAAGCGUGGGGAGCAAACAGG